RNAcentral lists this ribosomal RNA (254 nucleotides) under uncultured bacterium. Its description in RNAcentral is "partial 16S ribosomal RNA". It matches the Rfam family "Bacterial small subunit ribosomal RNA", at positions 524 to 776 of the family's 1533-position model. The record is from RNAcentral.
CACGUAGGGUGCGAGCGUUGUCCGGAAUUAUUGGGCGUAAAGAGCUCGUAGGCGGUGUGUCGCGUCGACCGUGAAAACCUGCAGCUUAACUGUGGGCGUGCGGUCGAUACGGGCAUCACUGGAGUUCGGCAGGGGAGAUUGGAAUUCCUGGUGUAGCGGUGAAAUGCGCAGAUAUCAGGAGGAACACCGGUGGCGAAGGCGGGUCUCUGGGCCGAUACUGACGCUGAGGAGCGAAAGCGUGGGGAGCAAACAGG